GUGCAUUUGUGAGAUCUUGGACAUUUCUUCUUCACUCUUGGAGAAUGACAAGUUCUGAAAACGAACGUUUCCCCCGUCUCAUCAAUUAACCCUAUAAAUUCAGAUAGAUGUAUGGUGACUCCACGUUUGGAUGAACGUGACUGCCAUGUGCAAAGACGGGUACCAGGAAUGAUGGAAGGACAAUCUGAAGGUGAGACUGAACAUGGACAGAGUACAUGAGAAAACGGAGAGCCACCGGAGGAGAAUCAAGGGGACCAAGAGGUUCGACAUCUGGGCAAAUGACUUAGCUUGAAAGGAAGACGAGACCCGGGAAAGCUUAGUGCUUCUAGCUGGGGUCACCAUCCGUUAAGGUGAAUAUACAAAUCUCAGAUAACUAUUUUCAUUUGCCAUCUCGUGGUGUGCGGCAUCGCCAUGCUGUCAGCAGUACCAGACGUUUCUCCAAAUAUCAAUCUCAAGGCUAACUACUGGGUCACGCUGAGUAACCGCCACUUCCAGUGUACGAAAGACUGAUGAGAGUAAAUAUUAGUUAAUUAUAGGAGAGCUGUAUCUCCGGCCACCGGUGAUGUGGAGCAGAGCAUGCUGGGCGAUCUCUAACUGAGGAGUAGGAAGUAACGAGAGAGUACACAAGCCGGGAUAAAUUCCAGCCAUCUCAUGUGAUUACCUCCAGUUAGCAUUCUUUGUUUUAGCCAAGGCCAGUGGGUGUCCUUCAGAAAUCGUCAUUAAACAACCUCGACUGGCCUAUCAUCCGUGCCCUUACAAGCACCUGUCCUACGUAAAGUCCUCAACUACAACCAGGACCUAAGGGUUCUGCCCAACACCCAGACAUGGAUCCACCUGAUGUCCUCCAUUACCAACUGUUACGCCCCUGAAAACAGGGGAGAAAUAAUCACGAGAGUGAUACGGUGUUGUAUCCGCAAUUUUCCCCAGGAAUAUGGGUGGAGACCAGAGCAAUCGAUCUCCGGCUCAUAGAUUAAGAGCAUUUCGUAGAUCACAGAUUAACACUUUUAGGCACCACAAAAUAAAGUAAUCAAUAUAACGUUUACACAUUACUCUCAAAAUUCAUACCCUUUGACAGAUUUUAACUUUAACACAAUUAUAUGAAUGUUAUUAAUCUCUAUCAACUAAUACUGAAUGCAUCUUUUUAACCUUAGAUGUUUUAAGAUCCUCACAUACUAUGAAUUUACUAAUACUUUUUAAUGUAUAACAGGCUAUGAAUAUUUCCUUUAACCUGUCACACAACCACCCUCCAACUUUCCAUUACAUCAGCUACUGUUAUUGUCAUUAUCUGCUAAGAAAAAGCAAGUCAACUAUCAUACUGGGCUCAUUAUGUGAGAUACACAGAUUAUCUUAAUUAAAACACUAGCACUGCAAACACUCAGAACAAAGAGGGGAGCAGUGCCUGGACUUUGCAGUCUCCUUUGAGUCAACCUUCCAAGACUGACUACCUGUUGAAAACAAGUGACAGGCAGAACCUCCCAUCCACACAAUACCCACCUCCUCUAUUCCACACACCAGAAUUCAGUAUUUCAGUCUAUGAUUGCCAUGUGAGUGUACAAAAAAUAUAAAUGUACCAAUAAAAUAUUGCCAGAUUGUUUUUUA
Oncorhynchus keta (chum salmon) is the source of this 1599-nucleotide long non-coding RNA. RefSeq lists it as uncharacterized. The record is from RefSeq and is a predicted model, not a curated record. Lineage: Eukaryota; Metazoa; Chordata; Actinopteri; Salmoniformes; Salmonidae. The transcript is spliced from 5 exons.